GACGAACGCUGGCGGCGUGCUUAACACAUGCAAGUCGAACGGUAAGGCCCUUCGGGGUACACGAGUGGCGAACGGGUGAGUAACACGUGGGUGAUCUGCCCUGCACUUUGGGAUAAGCCUGGGAAACUGGGUCUAAUACCGAAUACACCCUGCUGGUCGCAUGGCCCGGUGGGGGAAAGCUUUUCCGGUGUGGGAUGGGCCCGCGGCCUAUCAGCUUGUUGGUGGGGUGAUGGCCUACCAAGGCGACGACGGGUAGCCGGCCUGAGAGGGUGACCGGCCACACUGGGACUGAGAUACGGCCCAGACUCCUACGGGAGGCAGCAGUGGGGAAUAUUGCACAAUGGGCGCAAGCCUGAUGCAGCGACGCCGCGUGAGGGAUGACGGCCUUCGGGUUGUAAACCUCUUUCAAUAGGGACGAAGCGCAAGUGACGGUACCUAUAGAAGAAGGACCGGCCAACUACGUGCCAGCCGCCGCCGUAA
This 480-nucleotide ribosomal RNA is filed under the name uncultured bacterium. RNAcentral's name for it is "partial 16S ribosomal RNA". It matches the Rfam family "Bacterial small subunit ribosomal RNA", at positions 28 to 523 of the family's 1533-position model. The record is from RNAcentral.